This 497-nucleotide ribosomal RNA is filed under the name uncultured bacterium. RNAcentral describes it as "partial 16S ribosomal RNA". It matches the Rfam family "Bacterial small subunit ribosomal RNA", at positions 28 to 507 of the family's 1533-position model. The record is from RNAcentral.
GAUGAACGCUGGCGGCGUGCCUAAUACAUGCAAGUCGAGCGAACGGACGAGAAGCUUGUUUCUCUGAUGUUAGCGGCGGACGGGCGAGUAACACGUGGAUAACCUACCUAUAAGUCUGGGAUAACUUCGGGAAACCGGAGCUAAUACCGGAUAAUAUUUUGAACCGCAUGGUUCAAAAGUGAAAGACGGUCUUGCUGUCACUAAUAGAUGGAUCCGCGCUGCAUUAGCUAGUUGGUAAGGUAACGGCUUACCAAGGCAACGAUGCAUAGCUGACCUGAGAGGGUGAUCGGCCACACUGGAACUGAGACACGGUCCAGACUCCUACGGGAGGCAGCAGUAGGGAAUCUUCGGCAAUGGGCGAAAGCCUGACGCAGCAACGCCGCGUGAGUGAUGAAGGUCUUCGGAUCGUAAAGCUCUGUUAUUAGGGAAGAACAUAUGUGGAAGUAACCGUGCACAUCUUGACGGUACCCAAUCAGAAAGCCACGGCUAACUACGUG